RNAcentral lists this ribosomal RNA (253 nucleotides) under uncultured bacterium. RNAcentral's name for it is "partial 16S ribosomal RNA". It matches the Rfam family "Bacterial small subunit ribosomal RNA", at positions 524 to 776 of the family's 1533-position model. The record is from RNAcentral.
UACGGAGGAUCCAAGCGUUAUCCGGAUUUAUUGGGUUUAAAGGGUGCGUAGGCGGCUUAUUAAGUCAGGGGUGAAAGACGGUAGCUUAACUAUCGCAGUGCCUUUGAUACUGAUGAGCUUGAAUGUACUUGAGGUAGGCGGAAUGUGACAAGUAGCGGUGAAAUGCAUAGAUAUGUCACAGAACACCAAUUGCGAAGGCAGCUUACUAAAGUAUGAUUGACGCUGAGGCACGAAAGCGUGGGGAUCAAACAGG